CUGGCUCAGGAUGAACGCUAGCUACAGGCUUAACACAUGCAAGUCGAGGGGUAGCAGGAUCUAGCAAUAGAUUGCUGACGACCGGCGCACGGGUGAGUAACACGUAUCCAACCUUCCGUUUACUCGGGGAUAGCCUUUCGAAAGAAAGAUUAAUACCCGAUAGUAUGUUUUUCCCGCAUGGGAGAACCAUUAAAGUUUUUCGGUAAUCGAUGGGGAUGCGUUCCAUUAGGCAGUUGGUGAGGUAACGGCUCACCAAACCUUCGAUGGAUAGGGGUUCUGAGAGGAAGGUCCCCCACAUUGGAACUGAGACACGGUCCAAACUCCUACGGGAGGCAGCAGUGAGGAAUAUUGGUCAAUGGACGAGAGUCUGAACCAGCCAAGUAGCGUGGAAAAGGAUGACUGCCCUAUGGGUUGUAAACUUCUUUUAUAUGGGAAUAAAGGAGCCUACGUGUAGGUUUUUGUAUGUACCAUACGAAUAGGGAUCGGCUAACUCCGUGCCAGCAGCAGC
RNAcentral lists this ribosomal RNA (508 nucleotides) under uncultured bacterium. Its description in RNAcentral is "bacterial SSU rRNA". It matches the Rfam family "Bacterial small subunit ribosomal RNA", at positions 19 to 518 of the family's 1533-position model. The record is from RNAcentral.